UUGGACAAUGGGCGCAAGCCUGAUCCAGCAAUGCCGCGUGAGUGAUGAAGGCCUUCGGGUUGUAAAGCUCUUUUACCUACGACGAUGAUGACGGUAGUAGGAGAAUAAGCCCCGGCUAACUUCGUGCCAGCAGCCGCGGUAAUACGAAGGGGGCUAGCGUUGUUCGGAAUUACUGGGCGUAAAGGGCGCGUAGGCGGCCCUGUCAGUCAAGCGUGAAAGCCCCGGGCUCAACCUGGGAAUUGCGCCUGAUACUGCAGGGCUUGAGGGUCGGAGAGGAUGGUGGAAUUCCCAGUGUAGAGGUGAAAUUCGUAGAUAUUGGGAAGAACACCGGUGGCGAAGGCGGCCAUCUGGACGACAUCUGACGCUGAGGCGCGAAAGCGUGGGGAGCAAACAGGAUUAGAUACCCUGGUAGUCCACGCUGUAAACGAUGAAUGCUAGACGUUGGGGUUCUUAGAACUUCAGUGUCGCCGCUAACGCAUUAAGCAUUCCGCC
This 492-nucleotide ribosomal RNA is filed under the name uncultured Alphaproteobacteria bacterium. Its description in RNAcentral is "bacterial SSU rRNA". It matches the Rfam family "Bacterial small subunit ribosomal RNA", at positions 364 to 873 of the family's 1533-position model. Lineage: Bacteria; Pseudomonadati; Pseudomonadota; Alphaproteobacteria. The record is from RNAcentral.